This 490-nucleotide ribosomal RNA is filed under the name uncultured bacterium. RNAcentral describes it as "partial 16S ribosomal RNA". It matches the Rfam family "Bacterial small subunit ribosomal RNA", at positions 30 to 507 of the family's 1533-position model. The record is from RNAcentral.
AUUGAACGCUGGCGGCAGGCCUAACACAUGCAAGUCGAACGGUAACAGGAAGAAGCUUGCUUCUUUGCUGACGAGUGGCGGACGGGUGAGUAAUGUCUGGGAAACUGCCUGAUGGAGGGGGAUAACUACUGGAAACGGUAGCUAAUACCGCAUAACGUCGCAAGACCAAAGAGGGGGACCUUCGGGCCUCUUGCCAUCGGAUGUGCCCAGAUGGGAUUAGCUAGUAGGUGGGGUAACGGCUCACCUAGGCGACGAUCCCUAGCUGGUCUGAGAGGAUGACCAGCCACACGGGAACUGAGACACGGUCCAGACUCCUACGGGAGGCAGCAGUGGGGAAUAUUGCACAAUGGGCGCAAGCCUGAUGCAGCCAUGCCGCGUGUAUGAAGAAGGCCUUCGGGUUGUAAAGUACUUUCAGCGGGGAGGAAGGGAGUAAAGUUAAUACCUUGGCUGAUUGACGUUACCCGCAGAAGAAGCACCGGCUAACUCCGUG